This 1581-nucleotide long non-coding RNA is filed under the name Zonotrichia albicollis (white-throated sparrow). RNAcentral's name for it is "lncRNA (ENSZALG00000002068.1)". Lineage: Eukaryota; Metazoa; Chordata; Aves; Passeriformes; Passerellidae. The record is from RNAcentral.
NNNNNNNNNNNNNNNNNNNNNNNNNNNNNNNNNNNNNNNNNNNNNNNNNNNNNNNNNNNNNNNNNACACCCCCCCUGGAGGGUGAGAUCUCAGAGUGCCUGGCUGCCAGGGCAGGGAGGGAGGCUGAGCUCAGGCUUUUGCCUGCACCGAUUUGUUGCAUUCAAAAGCAUCUUGGUACCGAAAACCCAUGAGGUGAAGCUUUGCCCCACUCAGACUCAGCCGCAGCAGCAGCCCUCAGCCAUGCCGUGUGGACGUCACCAGUGAUGCCACAUGAUCCUGGCUGGGCUCGGCACCCACUGAUGCCCUGGCUGCUCCCAUCGCCCUCGCCACCCUGCCUCGACCUGCCCGGCACACCCCAAGGUGCUGUGGGAGAAAUCCUCUCCUCAUGGGUCCCUAAGGAGCACAUCCCGCCACCCCAGGGCCCUGCCUGCACUUCUCAGCUUGGGUGCAAGGACUGCUGGGGACAGCAGCCCCCCCAGCCCCCUCCCACGGGCUGCCAGCCCCCUCGGAGAUGCUCUGUGCUGGCACUGCCAUCCCUGCGCCGAGGAGCCACAGCACGGCCGGGGGUGGCAGGCAGCGUGCCAGCUUCACAGGGAGGGAUUUUACCUCCCCAACUCCAACUCUCCUUCUUCCCUUCAGUGAGGGACUCUGGGGAUGCUCCCCACCACCGUCCCCAUCCCCAUCCUGCCACCAAGGGCUUGGCUUGUGGCUACAACAGGUGCAGGCACAACGGCAGUGAUGGGGGGAAAACGGGCACCCCUUGGGCUGCAGGGAUGUGUCCAGGGGCCAGGCACAUGGAUGGCUGGCACAGGCACCAUCGGGCAAGGAAGGUGGGUGAGCAGACAGGGCAAGCUGUCCCUGUCCCUGGGGCCAUUCCCAGAGAGCGCUGCCUGGCAGAGACCUGCCACCACCUCCAAAGACAGGACACACUGACCCUCCCUUUCCCUGGGAGUACCAAAUCCCCACUCAGGCCCUCCCCACCAUGCACAGCCCGGGGUCAGGACGGGUCCCUCGGUGCCACCGUGGCAGCUCUGCCCCAGGCCCCUGAGCUCCCCACUCGGGGAGCCGCCUUUCUCUCUCUUUGCUGUGCCCUGAUAAGGGCCAGCUGGGCCAGCCCUUGCCAUGGUUCCUCUGCCCAGCGAGCCUUGCCACGCCAGCACCGCCUUGGCCACACCGUCCCCGCCACAGGCACCCCUGCAAGGGGAGCAACCGCCGGGUCCAAACAGGAUCAGGCUCCUGGCAUCCAUGCCCAGCCCUGCCAGGCUCAGGGGAAUAGAAAAGGGAGCUAUUCCCAACUGCUCCAAGAGCUCCGGGCAGGGCUCUGGGCUCUGGCAGCUGGGCUUUGUUCGGCAGUCUGCAAAGGCGUGCGCACACCCGCAGCGCUGAGAUCGCUCCCUGCCCUGGCACACAGGGAACUGUGGGCAUGAGGGGCCUGAACCACGGUCAGGGAGGGAACCGUGGGCAGGGCGAAGCUGCCCAGGGAAGGGAGAAAUCGGCAGAUACCUGGAAAAAGGGCGGCAGAUUUACUGCACGAGGCCCCAGACAAGUUCAAGGUGAUGAGGGGGAGAGCGGCACAGCGUG